Non-coding RNA from Salmo salar (Atlantic salmon), 298 nucleotides. The record is from RefSeq and is a predicted model, not a curated record. NCBI's taxonomy places the organism in Eukaryota, Metazoa, Chordata, Actinopteri, Salmoniformes, Salmonidae.
GCAAAUUCCUCAUGAAUAAAGUUUUGUCAAGAGAAUGUUAAUUUAGUUACCAUGGAAACUGAUUGUGACACUGAAGCACAUGGCUGCAGCAGACAGUUGUUCCAGAAGUGAUGUCCAGAAGUUGAAGAAAAAUCUAGAAAAUGCCACAUAAAACAGCACAGAGGUCACAGACAUAGAAACAAAAUAAAAAAUGAUCCUAUACGAUACCAGGAACAUCUGUAAAAAGACAGGGAGAGAUACUGGAAGAAAAAAUAGAUAGAUUUCACUUCUAUCUCUGAGCUUACAAAGCGAGAACAAA